UACGUAGGUGGCAAGCGUUGUCCGGAUUUACUGGGCGUAAAGAGCGCGCAGGCGGUCGAAUAAGUCGAAUGUGAAAGCCCCCGGCUUAACUGGGGAGGGUCAUUCGAUACUGUUCGACUUGAAGGCAGGAGAGGGCAGCAGAAUUCCCGGUGUAGUGGUGAAAUGCGUAGAUAUCUGGAGGAAUACCGGUGGCGAAGGCGGCAUCCUGGACCGACAUUGACGCUGAACGGCGAAAGCUAGGGGAGCAAACGGG
This 253-nucleotide ribosomal RNA is filed under the name uncultured bacterium. RNAcentral describes it as "partial 16S ribosomal RNA". It matches the Rfam family "Bacterial small subunit ribosomal RNA", at positions 524 to 776 of the family's 1533-position model. The record is from RNAcentral.